RNAcentral lists this ribosomal RNA (413 nucleotides) under Limosilactobacillus reuteri. RNAcentral describes it as "bacterial SSU rRNA". It matches the Rfam family "Bacterial small subunit ribosomal RNA", at positions 380 to 786 of the family's 1533-position model. The record is from RNAcentral. Lineage: Bacteria; Bacillati; Bacillota; Bacilli; Lactobacillales; Lactobacillaceae.
CAGCUGAUGGAGCACACCGCGUGAGUGAAGAAGGGUUUCGGCUCGUAAAGCUCUGUUGUUGGAGAAGAACGUGCGUGAGAGUAACUGUUCACGCAGUGACGGUAUCCAACCAGAAAGUCACGGCUAACUACGUGCCAGCAGCCGCGGUAAUACGUAGGUGGCAAGCGUUAUCCGGAUUUAUUGGGCGUAAAGCGAGCGCAGGCGGUUGCUUAGGUCUGAUGUGAAAGCCUUCGGCUUAACCGAAGAAGUGCAUCGGAAACCGGGCGACUUGAGUGCAGAAGAGGACAGUGGAACUCCAUGUGUAGCGGUGGAAUGCGUAGAUAUAUGGAAGAACACCAGUGGCGAAGGCGGCUGUCUGGUCUGCAACUGACGCUGAGGCUCGAAAGCAUGGGUAGCGAACAGGAUUAGAUACC